Molecule: long non-coding RNA, 1814 nt
Organism: Ictalurus punctatus (channel catfish)
Lineage: Eukaryota; Metazoa; Chordata; Actinopteri; Siluriformes; Ictaluridae
Source: Ensembl
GUAUAAUAGUAACAUAGUACAUUUUUAGGAAUGUUGUAACAAUAAACAUCACCAUUCUAUAGCACUAAAAUAUUGAAUGAUACAUGGUGCAGCCAUUUACCAAAUACAUCUAUAAAGAACUUAGUACUAUUAAGUACUAAUAUUGUACUUAAUAAAGCACUAAUAGCGAUCAAACUGGAAUUGUGAGAAGGUAAUCUAGGUCUUUAACUUCCUCACCUUUAUGGUUGUGGCGUGGGGUUCCAGGCUCCGAGUGGCACCUCCGGCGUGGCUGCAGUGUGAAGGAGCAGCGCUGGUCGUUGAGCCGACGGCCCUCUUGCAAAGCGCAAAGUAGCUCGUAGAGAGCGUCAGGAGAAUCUGGGGAUAAUCUGUGGACCUGGGGACACUUUUGCUGAGCAUCUUCAGGACUGAGUCGGUCCCUGGGUCGUAGUUUGGCAGAAGGCUGGCUAUCAGCAAGUGACUCUUCUUUAGGCACUGCUUUUGUCUUCAAUCCCUCCAUCUCUUCUUCUGCCUUCCCCAUCACUAAUCCAGGUCUGGUUUGGACUAUUUUCACUUCUGGGUUCUCCUCGGUUUCUGUCACUCCCUCGAUCUUUUGGUUUAUGUAUUCCAGCCCUUCCUUUUGCUGACUUUCCACUUCCACAUCGUUUUCAGAAUCUGUACUUCCCUCCGAACUUCCCUUAAUCAUGUCUUCCAUGUUUUCCUUCUUCACUCUUAGUACGCCUUUCCCUCUCGCAGAGAUAUGUGUGAAAUCGUCCAGCUCGUCCCCUUCCUCGAGGAUAACCAGUGGCUCCAGCUGUUCCUCCGCUGGGAUUUGACCUUUGACCUCUGCACAGUCCAUGUCAGAAUCCACUGCUAUGUCCUUCAGUCAUCCAGAGGAUAUGGGAACCCUAAGCUUAAGUUAUGAGAGUUUAGGGAGUUCUUAUUUUGAAAUACUUGACAGUUCAAUUAUAAUACAAGGCUGAGAUUUGUGUUAUUUGCGAAAUAUAAAUAUUUUUCAGAAAAUCGCCAAGUUGCUUCAUAAAAACAGAUCUAAUUUGUUUACUUCAUGAAGCACUGCUCUAGAUCAUACUCAAAUGUGCUAAGCUGACAGCAGGAAAAAAAAAAAAAAAACACAAAAAAACGUGACCAUUGCACAACCCUUUCGUAAUUCUUAACGCUACAAAAAGAGAGUAUACAAAGGCAAAUUCAGGAUGGUUGUUUAUUUAUUUAAUUUUCAUGAGAGGUAGUACAUAAUAGAAUCAUGAUAACUUCAUCUUAGCGCGAGUAAAUGAAAGAGUAAAACGAAAUGAAAGCCCCUGAAGGCCUCUUACCGUCUUCCAGACCCUGAAAUGUUGAAAUAAUGUCCUCUAGACUGUAUCUCGUGGGUAGCCCUCAUUGGCUUCGUCCUUUGCCGCCAAACGAAAAUAGACGCUUCAUAUUAAAUUCACACCUGCCAAGUUUUCCUUCCGAAAAAGAAUCGAAUUAGAUAGCUGAGCACUGAUGUGUUAGCAAGUUCUGAGUUUCGCACUCAGGCUGCUUUUUCUGACUUUCUUCCUCUUCCUUUCUCUACACCAACCCACCCCUACUGACUUGGUCAAUAACGUUUCAAAACGCUAGUAACCUGAGUCUCGUUGUUCCGUGAGAAAUAGCCGAAAGCAUUAGACCGGUAAUUAACGCAUAAGUUCAUCUAAGGCUUCAUAUGAGGCUUUCAGAAAGAACAUGAUGAUUUAUAAGCAUGGAGUCGGGGUUUGCGCAUACUUGACAGCACGCUUGCAAGUUGAAACUAGUUGCCUGCUUGCUCGACAAAAGCAAAAGAACCUGUGGUUUUGCAUACUUCC